UACGUAGGGUGCGAGCGUUGUCCGGAAUUACUGGGCGUAAAGAGCUCGUAGGUGGUUUGUCGCGUUGUUCGUGAAAACUCACAGCUCAACUGUGGGCGUGCGGGCGAUACGGGCAGACUGGAGUACUGCAGGGGAGACUUGAAUUCCUGGUGUAGCGGUGGAAUGCGCAGAUAUCAGGAGGAACACCGGUGGCGAAGGCGGGUCUCUGGGCAGUAACUGACGCUGAGGCGCGAAAGCUAGGGGAGCGAACAGG
This 253-nucleotide ribosomal RNA is filed under the name uncultured bacterium. RNAcentral describes it as "partial 16S ribosomal RNA". It matches the Rfam family "Bacterial small subunit ribosomal RNA", at positions 524 to 776 of the family's 1533-position model. The record is from RNAcentral.